GACGAACGCUGGCGGCGUGCUUAGCACAUGCAAGUCGAACGGAAAGGCCCUGCUUUUGUGGGGUGCUCGAGUGGCGAACGGGUGAGUAACACGUGAGUAACCUGCCCUUGACUUUGGGAUAACUUCAGGAAACUGGGGCUAAUACCGGAUAGGAGCUCCUGCUGCAUGUUGGGGGUUGGAAAGUUUCGGCGGUUGGGGAUGGACUCGCGGCUUAUCAGCUUGUUUGUGGGGUAGUGGCUUACGAAGGCUUUGACGGGUAGCCGGCCUGAGAGGGUGACCGGCGACCUGGGGACUGAGAGACGGCCCAGACUCCUACGGGAGGCAGCAGUGGGGAAUAUUGCACAAUGGGCGGAAGCCUGAUGCAGCAACGCCGCGUGCGGGAUGACGGCCUUCGGGUUGUAAACCGCUUUCGCCUGUGACGAAGCGUGAGUGACGGUAAUGGGUAAAGAAGCACCGGCUAACUACGUG
RNAcentral lists this ribosomal RNA (468 nucleotides) under uncultured bacterium. RNAcentral describes it as "partial 16S ribosomal RNA". It matches the Rfam family "Bacterial small subunit ribosomal RNA", at positions 28 to 507 of the family's 1533-position model. The record is from RNAcentral.